AGGGGUGUGGCUCAGUUGGUAGAGUACUUGCCUAACAUGCAUGAAGCCCUGGGUUCUAUUUCCAGCACUGCAU
This 73-nucleotide transfer RNA is filed under the name Mesocricetus auratus (golden hamster). It matches the Rfam family "tRNA". From Rfam's summary of the family: Transfer RNA (tRNA) molecules are approximately 80 nucleotides in length. The record is from Rfam by way of RNAcentral. Lineage: Eukaryota; Metazoa; Chordata; Mammalia; Rodentia; Cricetidae.